RNAcentral lists this ribosomal RNA (222 nucleotides) under Mitrasacme pygmaea. RNAcentral's name for it is "5.8S ribosomal RNA". The stretch from base 5 to 160 matches the Rfam family "5.8S ribosomal RNA". From Rfam's summary of the family: 5.8S ribosomal RNA (5.8S rRNA) is a component of the large subunit of the eukaryotic ribosome. It is transcribed by RNA polymerase I as part of the 45S precursor that also contains 18S and 28S rRNA. Functionally, it is thought that 5.8S rRNA may be involved in ribosome translocation. Lineage: Eukaryota; Viridiplantae; Streptophyta; Magnoliopsida; Gentianales; Loganiaceae. The record is from RNAcentral.
AAACGACUCUCGGCAACGGAUGUCUCGGCUCUCGCAUCGAUGAAGAACGUAGCAAACUGCGAUACUUGGUGUGAAUUGCAGAAUCCCGUGAACCAUCGAGUUUUUGAACGCAAGUUGCGCCCGAAGCCAAUAGGCCGAGGGCACGUCUGCAUGGGCGUCACGCAUCGCGUCGCCCCCCCAAACAGCGCCCCGAAAGGAUGCUGCUAAGGGGGACGUAAAUUG